RNAcentral lists this ribosomal RNA (468 nucleotides) under uncultured bacterium. Its description in RNAcentral is "partial 16S ribosomal RNA". It matches the Rfam family "Bacterial small subunit ribosomal RNA", at positions 28 to 507 of the family's 1533-position model. The record is from RNAcentral.
GACGAACGCUGGCGGCGUGCUUAACACAUGCAAGUCGAACGGAAAGGCCCUGCUUUUGUGGGGUGCUCGAGUGGCGAACGGGUGAGUAACACGUGAGUAACCUGCCCUUGACUUUGGGAUAACUUCAGGAAACUGGGGCUAAUACCGGAUAGGAGCUCCUGCUGCAUGGUGGGGGUUGGAAAGUUUCGGCGGUUGGGGAUGGACUCGCGGCUUAUCAGCUUGUUGGUGGGGUAGUGGCUUACCAAGGCUUUGACGGGUAGCCGGCCUGAGAGGGUGAACGGCGACAAUGGGACUGAGAUACGGCCCAGUCUCGUACGGGAGGCAGCAGUGGGGAAUAUUGCACAAUGGGCGGAAGCCUGUGGCAGCAACGCCGCGUGCGGGAUGACGGCCUUCGGGUUGUAAACCGCUUUCGCCUGUGACGAAGCGUGAGUGACGGUAAUGGGUAAAGAAGCACCGGCUAACUACGUG